Molecule: non-coding RNA, 74 nt
Organism: Nicotiana tabacum (common tobacco)
Lineage: Eukaryota; Viridiplantae; Streptophyta; Magnoliopsida; Solanales; Solanaceae
Source: Rfam
ACAUUCAUGGCUGAAUGGUUAAAGUGCCCAACUUAUAAAUGGCGAAUUCUUAGGUUCAAUUCAUACUGGAUGCA